Nicotiana tabacum (common tobacco) is the source of this 6218-nucleotide long non-coding RNA. RefSeq lists it as uncharacterized. The record is from RefSeq and is a predicted model, not a curated record. Lineage: Eukaryota; Viridiplantae; Streptophyta; Magnoliopsida; Solanales; Solanaceae.
UAUUCCCUCCUUUUUUUCCUCAACAACUCCACCCAUAUUCCCCAAAUUAAUCAAAAAAACCCUAUAAUCUGUCAAUCCAGUGUUAUCCCAAAACACGUACACCAGAUUCAGCAAAGAGGAUGCAAAGAAUCACGAACAAAUAGGCCCUCACUGCAACUUCCCGCUACUCCAUCGGCGAGUUCUAGCGAUUGAUUUAACACUAUAUAUAUAGAGGGCAAAACUCAACGAAAAAUCACAAAAUGAUUUGGUCUUCUUGUUGUACGCAACUUAUAAUUUGUGUGCUUUGUGGUGAAUCUGUGUCAACGAUAAUAGCUGGGUGUCAACGCUAAUAGCUGGGUUUUGUUAUUUGCUAUGCUUAUACUUGAUUUGUGGGUUCUGUCAAUGCAGUUUAUACGAUUUGGUCUUCUUGUUGUACGCAACUUAUAAUUUGUGUGCUUUGUGGUGAAUCUGUGUCAACGAUAAUAGCUGGGUGUCAACGCUAAUAGCUGGGUUUUGUUAUUUGCUAUGCUUAUACUUGAUUUGUGGGUUCUGUCAAUGCAGUUUAUACGAUUUGGUCUUCUUGUUGUGCAUUCUCGUCAAGAAAUUGGUCUAAGCUUGUAGGUCGCACCUCCAAGAUCUGGACAACUCCGGUGAGCAUUGCUUGCGUUUCCAUGGUCUUGCUUUAUUGCUAUCAGUAGUUGUUUUGAAUAUAGUUUUAUCUAAAUUUUGGUACAUGUUAGUAAUUAUACCUGAUUUACAUUAAUAAUUGUACCUGAUUUACACACUCAUUAUCGCUUUGAUUAAUUUUUUCUUAAGGUAUCAAAAGUGAUUGUAAUUUUGAAGUGGACUUUGCACUCAUGUGUUUGAUGAUAUGUCUAAGUCAUCUUCUUUGGAGUAUUCUGUUGUCCUCCUCCUAUUAGGGGUACAAUAGUGAAAUCUCUAGGAGCGUUUGAGCAAGGACUCUUUUAGAAGAAAGUAUUAUCUUUCUUUGAGCAUUUUGGGGCCAAUUUACCAUCUUCCACACACUAAAGAUGUAGGGUAUGAUUGUUAGUUACAUAUUAUUGAUGUUAUUUUUUUUCUUUGUUUGGUAGGUUGUUCUACCUUAUUCCUUUGAAAUUGCAGAAUAGUAAGAGUACACGAAUAAUCCAGUGUAGUAUUAAUGGCCGCUUUGCGCACUAUCCCUUUUUUGUUCUUAUAGACUUAAUUAAUCACCUGAGAAAAUCUGAGGAACAUCUUGAUACUGAAAAUACUGUAAAAAUUACGGAUGAUAUAAUAGACUCCCUUCGACCUUUUUGUUUUUCCUUUGUAAUUGGAAUACUACAAGCUUGAAUUUCUUUUGAUUUCUUAUGCAUUGCACUUAGAAAUAUACUUUCUCUGUGAAAAAUAUUCCUCCUUGUUAUUCAUUUGAUGGGAUCCAUUGCAGGCGAUGGUCUUUCCUCAUGAUUCUAUUAUAAAUUUCUUCAUCUUAAAGUCGGUGAUUCAUUUGCUUUGAUUUUGCUUCUUCCAGACCUAUUUCCAAGUCAAAAGAGGAAAAAUUUGCCUCCUUUUCGCUUAAGAGUUGAUAGAAAAUGUGGUUCCAUCAAAUUUCUUUUACAAGUUUAUUUAAUUGAGAGAUUUCUUCUAUUGUAUCAUAUUUAGAUCUUGGAUUGUAUUCAUGUACAAUGACUGAACUUCUGUAUAGGGUGAUAAUAGCAUAAAGAUAAGCUUAGCUUAAAUAGCUGGUGACCAUACGAGAUAUAGCCUACAUUCCGAGUUUCUUUGCCUUGUACGUUGUGAAAAUUGCCUUUUCCCCUCUCCUAUGUGUUAUUUUGAGCUUAAAUUUUUCUGCUCCUCAUAUCUCAAGGAUGUAUUGGAGGUUUCUUAAAAUAGUUCUGUAGAUUUUAUCUUUUGCUAACUCAGGAGUAUAAAAAUAAUUUUGCUUUUAACAAAUUAUGGCAAAUUUUAGUGCCCUUUUUUGUGUUUCCAGAGCAUUUUUUUCUUUGUUGUAGUGACAUUUAUUUUAAGUGUAUUUGUGUCAUGCCAUAAACAUAGUAGACUUAGAGUUUAAAUAGAAAUGAGAGUUUGGGUGUACGAGCAUGGGUAGUUUUGAAUUGUCAAUCCAGAUUAAAUUCAUACUUUAGUCUUAGGAUGUAAUGUCAACGGCUGUAAAACACGUGUAUUUCCCCUUUACCCAAUAAACAAAGAAGUAGUUUUAUCAAUAUACCUCAUUUAAAUCCUAAACUAGAUAGCAUUUGAUUGUCAAUUUCUAUUAUAUAGAAAAAUCAACAGAUUUGGGUGAAGCUCUAGGCCUCUAUCCGGUCUAGAUGACAAAUAGACAGUCGAAAUUCAUCAGCUGAAGCUCGGUAAGCUUUUCCUAUUAGCUUUUGUGUUGCUAAUUCUAUUUAUUCAUAGCAAAACGAUUUUCAAUAUCAGGCUAAGAAUUGCUAGGUGUUCCACAAGAAGACAUCACUCAUUGAGGCUCCACCUUUCUUGCCUUCUCUGGUUGACAUGAAUCCAUCAAAGUCUGAAAUGGGAGCAACUUCAAUGAAUGUACAUCAUGCAUAUAUUCAACCUGGUGCUUUAGUAAGGGGAAGAGGACACAACUUUGGAUCUUUGGGAUCUGUAAAAAUAAGUAUUAGAAAGAGAACUCUUAUUGGCCAAAGUAAAAAUCACAACUCAACAGCUUUUGAGUAGAAUAAGCUUGAACAUACUGAUAAUCUUGUGCCCCCUGGUUUCGCUUCGAUGGAAGACGAUGCUCCCCUUGCUCAAGACGCUGAAGCGAAGCAAGAAACAGGAGGAGCUUUGAAGAAUGUAAAUCUUGCAUACAUUCAACCUGCAUCUUUAGCAAGGGGAUGAUGGCAAAGCUUUCGAUCUUUGGGCUCUGCAAAAGUAAAUGUUGGCAAAAAAAUCUAUUUGGAGAGAUUAAAAAUUACAACUUAGGGGCUUCUAAGCAGAAUAAGCUAGCACAUAAUAAUCUAUGUGAAUCUGAAAACCCAAAAAAAGGUGAGAGGAAAGAAUAGGAAUAAAGAUGUUGCGGGACUCAAACCUCGAGAAAAGUUUAGAGUCAAUUUUACCAUAAUCGGAUUGUUGGGAAGCAUCAAGCCUCAUUUUUGAGACACUUGGGUAUAUUAGUUCGUGAUCGUAAUAUGUGUCCAUUGCAAGUACAUUCAUGGAAGGACAUUGCAAAAGAUAACACAUGUGGCGAGCUGUUACGAUAAAGCAAUAUUUUAAUUGAAAGUACUUGAAAUUUUUGUUACCGUUCUCACUCUGUUUAUGGUCUAUGUUAGAUAUGUUGUUGGUGGCUGGAAAUUUUUGUUAAAGUAGUUCUAAUCAAUGCUAAUUCCACAAAUGAUCUGUUGCAUUUUACAUUCAAUUAGUUUCACUGCAUCCCUUGUCGGGAUCACUUGUAUUAUCCAGAUUUGUGGUGAUGAGCUGAAGAAGCCACAAUCAUUAUAUCCUUUGUGUUGUGUAUGAUUAAUGAAAAUGCAUUGUACAAGCUGUAGCACCUUAUGAUCCACUGCAAAUGCUCUGUAAAAUAUGACAUCUUUAUACCAAGAGUUGUGCACAUGAGUGAGUUUGCAUAGUUUGCUGCAUAUCUCUUAUGAGUUUGAGCAAAAUUUUGAGACCAACUUUGUUCGAUAGCCUUCCUGGUAUAUGAGGGUAAUGAAGUACACUGAGAUUUUAGUCCAUAAUGCACUCAUCGAUCCCAUUUUUGAACACCAAAAUCCCAUGUCAUAGCUGAUCAUUCAGCACCUGGCAGUAGUUAUUCUUGUUGAGUAAUUCUUCUGGUGUGAGAGUUAAGGUGCAUUUUAUUGACACAAUGGUAUGAUGCCCCUUAUGUAUUAUUGACACAAAGGUAUGAUGCCCCUAAGUGCAGAUGUUUCUCCCUUAGAAAGUCCCAAAUGGUUCCUAUUGUACUAGAAAUUAUCAAGACAAUACAAUUUCUGAACUUGUAGACAUCAGAAAAUGCUAGGAUAUAAGCAUACAAUAUUCCAAAUGAAACAAGUUUGGGCAGGCAUGAAGAGAAUCUUUACUCACCAUUAUUCCUUUGACCUGAGUGUUAAUGUGACCCCUUUCAGAGUCACCUAGAAGCUUGGACAAACCAAAAUCAGAAACUUUUGCGUUUAGGCGUUCAUCUAGCAAGAUGUUGUUGGACUUGAUGUUUCUGUGUAUGAUAGGAGUAUUAACAAGGUCAUGAAGAUACUGCAAACCUCGGGCUACUCCAAGGGCUAUAUUCAAUCUCCUUAUCCAAUCUAACCUGAUCCCAGUCUUGCCUACAAGUACAAAUCCAAUUACUUUUUCCAGAGGCACAUUCCCCUUUUGGCAAAGUUAUAAUGAUCUAGUUUUAAGGAAUCAAUAAGAAGGAAAAAUCUAAGGUGCUAGUCAAGGAGUAUGUUUCUUAUUCUCUAGAUAGAACUCUAUAAGAAGCAAAACUAUUGGAGAUUUUAGUGUUCCUUGCCCUAAUUACAUGUUCCUGAUCUCAUGGAAAAUGGUUCAGCACUUCCACUCCUAAUUUUAAAUAUUGGUUUCUUGUUAAUGACACCAUCUAUAGUAUUUUGCAACAACUAAUCGUAAUUACUUCUUGGACUUCCCAGAAUGUAGGUAACAGGUAAUACAACAAACACCUCUAUAGUUUUCUCACAAUAAUGGUGUUAGUGAAUUAUUACAUAUAUUGUAAUGUUUUGUUGUAAAGCUGCAACCUUUAGUGCAAGUUUUUUGUGUAUCUCUUAGUCUGUAAGGUCACAUUCAAUGUCAAAACUUCUGCUUGAUUACAUUUGUUAAGUGACUAACAUGAAGGCUCUCCAUAGUUUCUCAAUGUGUACCUAGCACAGUGACACCUGCUUCUACAUUACCCUUCUGCACGGGGUAUUUGGGUCUGGAGGGGAAUUAGUUUGAUUCUUUGCAUAGGAUUUGAUUAUAAGUUACUGCUUCAAAUAAUGUUAUGACUUAUGAGGGUUAGGCUAAAAAGGGAAGAGAAUGUUACAUUUGAUUACGUGGAACAUAUUUAUUAUUUCUUCUUGAAAUCCAAGAAUUUGCAUACUGGAAGCUGGGUUUAUAGCACUGUAAAGUACUAGAGCUUAUUGGUUGUUGACUUUUCUGUUGCCUCUUAUAGAAUGUUUGAUCACAAUAAGUCGUUUUCUGUAUAUAUUAUUGGCGUGUAGUUUCUAAGGCAUGUUGUUGCUCUAAGCUCUACGUAAUUUAGAAAAUGCUUUACUUAUGAAUCUUUGUGAAUGCUGAAGAUCCUAGGUCUUAAGAAAUAUCACUGAAAAUAGACACAUUUUGUUUGAAACAGUAAAAACUAUCUUUAGUUUACAUGAAAUUUUUUACUUUCUUGAUUAAUGAUUUUGCAAAAUAUUUAGGAAAAAUUUGACAGUGAUGACAUGAAUCAUCAAAGAGAUCAUGUGUUAAAUCAUAUGAGAAAGUUAUCAAACAAUUGAAGAGGAUCAUUGCACAAGUAUGUGAAGUUUAAGCCAUUGCAUGAAGCACUAAAAGAUGUCCCGGAUGAGGUAGACAAGAGUGAUUGGGAAUGGUUGGUCAAGGAACAUUUUUUAAGUGAAAAAUUUAAGGGAGGCAAAGACGGUAAUCCACCGAAUAUGGCGACUAUCUUCUUUGAGACUCACAAGAAAAAUGACAUGCUUGUAGAACCUGAAGCUGGUGAAAAAUAUGCUGAGAUACAAGAACUAGUACAAUCUGAGUUGUCUCUUACGAAUAUCGAGGUAGUAGAAAGAUGCUUCGGACCUUAAAACAAGAGUCACAUGGUUGAAUUAGGGGGUGAUAUAACCACUAAGGAGUUGAAAGACGGUAGCUCCUCAAAGGCUACAAUACUAGCUGAGCUGAAUGCAGUUUGAAAAGAAAAAGAAUCACUACAGACCGAGCUGAAUACAACUAAAAAAGAAAAAGAAUCACUAGAAAUACGUAUGGACGACAUAGAUUCUAAGUAUGCACAUAUUAUCAGCUUACUGGGUGAUCAGCCUUCAUUAGCACCAUCUUCAAGUCAACAAAGUACAAGCUGAAAUUAUUAUUUAACAGAUCUGAUAAAGGCCCUAAAGUUUGAAGAAUCUUCCAUAAAGAUAGUUCCGAGCAAGUUGAAGUAGCUACAAUUGUUGAAGAACAAGGACAAUCUAUUAAGUUUUAUUAGGAGUUGUAGUCGUCAUCCGUACAAACUACUAUUUUACUUUCUCUUUAAUUUUUUGUUUUCUUUAAGGAAUUGAAAACAUGGAUCAUGCAAUUUGAAUGUAAUAUUAGUGCUACUUUGAUUA